Molecule: transfer RNA, 100 nt
Filed under: Primula filchnerae
Lineage: Eukaryota; Viridiplantae; Streptophyta; Magnoliopsida; Ericales; Primulaceae
Description: tRNA-Leu
Source: RNAcentral
AGCGGAUUUGGCUCAGGAUUACCCAUUUUUAUUAAUUCCAGGGUUUCUCUGAAUUUGAAAGUUAUGCGAUGGUCAUCGGUUCGAUUCCGAUAGCCGGCUU